UACCGAGGUGCCGAGCGUUAGGCGGAAUCACUGGGCUUAAAGCGUGUGUAGGCGGACUUCUAAGUACCUUGUGAAAUCCCACGGCUCACCCGUGGAACUGCUGGGUAUACUGGUCGUCUUGAGCCACCUAGGGGCGAGCGGAACAAAUGGUGGAGCGGUGAAAUGCGUAGAUAUCAUUUGGAACGCCAACGGUGAAAACAGCUCGCUGGGGGUGUGCUGACGCUGAGACACGAAAGCCAGGGGAGCGAACGGG
RNAcentral lists this ribosomal RNA (253 nucleotides) under uncultured bacterium. Its description in RNAcentral is "partial 16S ribosomal RNA". It matches the Rfam family "Bacterial small subunit ribosomal RNA", at positions 524 to 776 of the family's 1533-position model. The record is from RNAcentral.